This 1022-nucleotide long non-coding RNA is filed under the name Vulpes vulpes (red fox). RNAcentral's name for it is "lncRNA (ENSVVUG00000024918.1)". Lineage: Eukaryota; Metazoa; Chordata; Mammalia; Carnivora; Canidae. The record is from RNAcentral.
UUUUUUUAAUUCCAUAAUCUGCAUCAUAAUAAUUAGCAGUAAAAUGUAUUAUGCUUGUUUUUGUUUGUAGAGAUUGUUUUCUAUUUUACUGCUAGUCGUGAGAGGAAAGAAGCCUAGAGAAACAGAACAGAGGAUGAAUGUUUUGGAAAAGGAAUGGUCUGAAUCUCAAAACACCUGUGAAGAAGGAGUGUGAGAUGGCUUGAACUGAGUCUCAGUCAGUCAAUGAGUAAGAAAAUUUGGAAAAAUAAUAUCAGAACUGAGCAGCAUGGUGAAUUAAUAUUGAAAAGCAUUGUGAACUUGGAAAAACAGAGGACUCUCAAGAAGGACAUGUUCUACCAUCAAAGAAAAUAUGGAAUCCACAAGGACCCAACAAGGGAGCAGAGUUUACAGUUGCUUUCUCCUUUUGCAUCUUUCUCUCCUUUAUAUUUUGCAUGUUUCUCCUCACCUUCUUCUUCACAUCAGUGUAGCUGGUUUGGUAGACCAGAGUCUAGGGAUGGCCUUUCAUUAAGGAGGCUGUUUGGGAUGCAUCUGAAGAGAAGGAACAAUGAGGCUCAGGUCAGCUUCAUAACUGGCAUCCUACCAUCAUUUAAGUCAUAGGCUAAAAUGUCCUUGAUACUGUACACAUGGCUCCACUCACUAGCCCACAAUAAGAAAACAAGAUUAAGAUUUGGAUAUAAUGCCCCUAGCUAGUGAUUAAAAAGCAUUAUUUUCCCUUAGUCUCCCCCAUACACAUACCUUUAGGAACCUAUUUAGAAAGAGAAAGCUUACAGUACUUGAUUGAUUGGGAUGUGAUUUUCAUUUCUCACCUGUCUCAUUAAGUUAAAAGGGGGGGGGGAGAGAGAGAAUGAGCAAAGGGAGAGACAGAGACAGAGAAGCAGACUCCCCACGGAGCAAGGAGCUUAAUCCCAGGACCCCGAGAUCAUGACCUGAGCCAAAGACAGAGGCUUAACUGACUGAGCCACCCAGGUGCCCCUAGAUUGCCUUAUAAAUAAUAAAUCUGUUUCUAUUGUCUGUUAAUGUCA